This 1009-nucleotide ribosomal RNA is filed under the name Paraburkholderia sediminicola. RNAcentral describes it as "bacterial SSU rRNA". It matches the Rfam family "Bacterial small subunit ribosomal RNA", at positions 60 to 1061 of the family's 1533-position model. The record is from RNAcentral. Lineage: Bacteria; Pseudomonadati; Pseudomonadota; Betaproteobacteria; Burkholderiales; Burkholderiaceae.
AGUCGAACGGCAGCACGGGAGUAAUCCUGGUGGCGAGUGGCGAACGGGUGAGUAAUACAUCGGAACGUGUCCUGUAGUGGGGGAUAGCCCGGCGAAAGCCGGAUUAAUACCGCAUACGCUCUGCGGAGGAAAGCGGGGGAUCCUUCGGGACCUCGCGCUACAGGGGCGGCCGAUGGCAGAUUAGCUAGUUGGUGGGGUAAAGGCCUACCAAGGCGACGAUCUGUAGCUGGUCUGAGAGGACGACCAGCCACACUGGGACUGAGACACGGCCCAGACUCCUACGGGAGGCAGCAGUGGGGAAUUUUGGACAAUGGGCGAAAGCCUGAUCCAGCAAUGCCGCGUGUGUGAAGAAGGCCUUCGGGUUGUAAAGCACUUUUGUCCGGAAAGAAAACCUUCGAGUUAAUACCUUGGGGGGAUGACGGUACCGGAAGAAUAAGCACCGGCUAACUACGUGCCAGCAGCCGCGGUAAUACGUAGGGUGCAAGCGUUAAUCGGAAUUACUGGGCGUAAAGCGUGCGCAGGCGGUCCGCUAAGACAGAUGUGAAAUCCCCGGGCUUAACCUGGGAACUGCAUUUGUGACUGGCGGGCUAGAGUAUGGCAGAGGGGGGUAGAAUUCCACGUGUAGCAGUGAAAUGCGUAGAGAUGUGGAGGAAUACCGAUGGCGAAGGCAGCCCCCUGGGCCAAUACUGACGCUCAUGCACGAAAGCGUGGGGAGCAAACAGGAUUAGAUACCCUGGUAGUCCACGCCCUAAACGAUGUCAACUAGUUGUCGGGUCUUCAUUGACUUGGUAACGUAGCUAACGCGUGAAGUUGACCGCCUGGGGAGUACGGUCGCAAGAUUAAAACUCAAAGGAAUUGACGGGGACCCGCACAAGCGGUGGAUGAUGUGGAUUAAUUCGAUGCAACGCGAAAAACCUUACCUACCCUUGACAUGUAUGGAAUCCUGCUGAGAGGUGGGAGUGCCCGAAAGGGAGCCAUAACACAGGUGCUGCAUGGCUGUCGUCAGCUC